GGUGAACGCUGGCGGCGUGCCUAACACAUGCAAGUCGAGCGAUUUACUUCGGUAAAGAGCGGCGGACGGGUGAGUAACGCGUGGGUAACCUGCCCUGUACACACGGAUAACAUACCGAAAGGUAUGCUAAUACGGGAUAAUAUGCUUUAGUCGCAUGGCUGAAGUAUCAAAGCUCCGGCGGUACAGGAUGGACCCGCGUCUGAUUAGCUAGUUGGUAAGGUAACGGCUUACCAAGGCGACGAUCAGUAGCCGACCUGAGAGGGUGAUCGGCCACAUUGGAACUGAGACACGGUCCAAACUCCUACGGGAGGCAGCAGUGGGGAAUAUUGCACAAUGGGCGAAAGCCUGAUGCAGCAACGCCGCGUGAGCGAUGAAGGCCUUCGGGUCGUAAAGCUCUGUCCUCAAGGAAGAUAAUGACGGUACUUGAGGAGGAAGCCCCGGCUAACUACGUGCCAGCAGCCGCAGUAA
This 468-nucleotide ribosomal RNA is filed under the name uncultured bacterium. RNAcentral's name for it is "partial 16S ribosomal RNA". It matches the Rfam family "Bacterial small subunit ribosomal RNA", at positions 28 to 523 of the family's 1533-position model. The record is from RNAcentral.